AACACGUAAACAACCUGCCUUCAAGAUGGGGACAACAGACGGAAACGACUGCUAAUACCGAAUACGAUCCGAAAGUCGCAUGACAUUUGGAUGAAAAGGGUGGCCUAUCGAAGAAGCUAUCGCUUGAAGAGGGGUUUGCGUCCGAUUAGGUAGUUGGUGAGGUAACGGCCCACCAAGCCGACGAUCGGUAGCCGGUCUGAGAGGAUGAACGGCCACACUGGAACUGAGACACGGUCCAGACUCCUACGGGAGGCAGCAGAG
RNAcentral lists this ribosomal RNA (261 nucleotides) under uncultured Dialister sp. RNAcentral's name for it is "partial 16S ribosomal RNA". It matches the Rfam family "Bacterial small subunit ribosomal RNA", at positions 112 to 354 of the family's 1533-position model. The record is from RNAcentral. Lineage: Bacteria; Bacillati; Bacillota; Negativicutes; Veillonellales; Veillonellaceae.